CCUACGGGAGGCAGCAGUGGGGAAUUUUGGACAAUGGGCGCAAGCCUGAUCCAGCCAUGCCGCGUGUGGGAAGAAGGCCUUCGGGUUGUAAACCACUUUUGUCAGGGAAGAAACGGCUUUUUCUAAUACAGAGAGCUAAUGACGGUACCUGAAGAAUAAGCACCGGCUAACUACGUGCCAGCAGCCGCGGUAAUACGUAGGGUGCAAGCGUUAAUCGGAAUUACUGGGCGUAAAGCGUGCGCGGGCGGCUUUGCAAGACAGAUGUGAAAUCCCCGGGCUCAACCUGGGAACUGCAUUUGUGACUGCAUGGCUAGAGUACGGUAGAGGGGGAUGGAAUUCCGCGUGUAGCAGUGAAAUGCGUAGAUAUGCGGAGGAACACCGAUGGCGAAGGCAAUCCCCUAGACCUGUACUGACGCUCAUGCACGAAAGCGUGGGGAGCAAACAGGAUUAGAUACCCUGGUAGUCCACGCCCUAAACGAUGUCAACUGGUUGUUGGACGGCUUGCUGUUCAGUACGAAGCUAACGCGUGGAGUUGACCGCCUGGGGAGUACGGCCGCAAGGUUGAACUUAAANGAAUUGACCGGNNGAGAGNGCGACGACGACGACGAGGGAGGAGG
RNAcentral lists this ribosomal RNA (617 nucleotides) under uncultured bacterium. Its description in RNAcentral is "bacterial SSU rRNA". It matches the Rfam family "Bacterial small subunit ribosomal RNA", at positions 338 to 951 of the family's 1533-position model. The record is from RNAcentral.